Molecule: ribosomal RNA, 467 nt
Filed under: uncultured bacterium
Lineage: Bacteria
Description: partial 16S ribosomal RNA
Rfam family: Bacterial small subunit ribosomal RNA
Source: RNAcentral
GACGAACGCUGGCGGCGUGCUUAACACAUGCAAGUCGAACGGAAAGGCCUCUUUCGGGGGGUACUCGAGUGGCGAACGGGUGAGUAACACGUGAGUAACCUGCCCUUGACUUUGGGAUAACUUCAGGAAACUGGGGCUAAUACCGGAUAGGAGCUCCUGCUGCAUGGUGGGGGUUGGAAAGUUUCGGCGGUUGGGGAUGGACUCGCGGCUUAUCGGCUUGUUGGUGGGGUAGUGGCUUACCAAGGCUUUGACGGGUAGCCGGCCUGAGAGGGUGACCGGCCGCAUUGGGACUGAGAUACGGCCCAGACUCCGACGGGAGGCAGCAGUGGGGAAUAUUGCACAAUGGGUGGAAGCCUGAUGCAGCAACGCCGUGUGCGGGAGGACGGCCUUCGGGUUGUAAACCGCUUUCGCUCAUGACGAAGCUUUGUGUGACGGUAGUGGGUAAAGAAGCACCGGCUAACUACGUG